Non-coding RNA from Anas platyrhynchos (mallard), 1713 nucleotides. NCBI's taxonomy places the organism in Eukaryota, Metazoa, Chordata, Aves, Anseriformes, Anatidae. The record is from RefSeq and is a predicted model, not a curated record.
AAGGGGAAAAGGAAUGGCGUCAGCUGAGGGCGCUGCCUAUUCCUCCCCUUCCCGCCACUUCUCCUCAGACAACCAGGCCGGGCCCCAACGCGACGCCAGGGGGCGCCAUUUUGUCUUCCCUCCUCACCCCUUCCACAGCCCCUGAAGCACCGCGCCGCCAUCUUCUUUUCCCUCCUCACGCCUCUCCUUAGCCCCAUCCCGGCUCUGCCGCCUCAUAACUAAGGUGGUGCCACCGGGAAGGACUCCUUGCUCGUGCCUGCCCCGAAGAUGAGUUUGUGGUGACUUACUGUUAAAUUAUCUCACGAAAACUUUCUGGGCCAUGCAGCGUGCUCGCAGCUGUGACAAGUGCCGCUGGCUGCUGACCUGUGUCAGCCUCGGAGCUCUCCUCCAGCUCUGAUGAGGACUGCCUCAAGGAUCUGACAGGAGGAAUUGAGUAUGCUGCCAAGAUAUUAAAUGAAAUUCCCCAGAAAGACAUUCAGUGCACUAAAAGAGCCUCAAAGGCAGAAAGGGAAGGAAAUGGGCAAGGGAAUUCAUCAGCAUGGGAUUGUACCAGGAGAGAUGAAAAGUCCCUUGAGCUUUUGCUGUCUUCAGUGCGGGCCAGUGAUGGAUACUUGAGGCUUUUGGAUCAUUUUGUACCUUCUGUCUGCAAUACACACACCAGCAAGCAGCGCCGUUUUGCCUGGUUGUAAGAUGGCUGUGAGCCUCCAGCAGCUGGCAGGCAGAACCACUGCACUUGCUCGGUGGGGAGAGGCUGAUCUUCGUGGGGCCGGGGACUCUCAGCUGAGUCAGUACAACUGGCUGGUGCUCUGGUGGCUUCCUGCUCCGGAUUCACACUAGGUGGCCGUUGACGUCCUUACUUUGUGCUGUGGGAUGACACAGACUUGGAAGGACUCUGCAAAUUCAGCACACGUGGACUUUUCAGAACCUCUUUAUGGUUGCCAUCACUUCCUGGUUCUUUUGUGGUGCUUUUUGGUAGCUGAGGACAUUCUUUCUGUGUGUGUAAGAGCGCAGCUCCAGAACAAAAUGUCUGCUGAUGAAAAAUCUCCAGUUUGAGCUGGCCACCCGUACAUGGUAGUAUGAAUGUUGUGUGUCUGUGUGACAGUUGCUGUCUUUGUUGGGAUUUCCAGACUGAAUCAAAGGCCACCAAAAGAAGUGUGAACUGUCAGAGAAGAGGACGGGCAUAUUUCUUAAACAGGGAGUGUCACUGGUAAUGGACCAGGGUGGAUUUGGCUUGGCUCUUUCAAAACCAGUGUAUUGUUGUGUAAACCUGAGGAAGCCAGAAAUCAAUGCAGCUUGUUCUUAACCAGUGCUGCAUUGUAUUGGCUUAAUUUGUUAGGGCCAUGUGCCAGCCUGUAGGGAACCAGGACGGUAUUAGUGCAGUGGUACGGGCUGGACGCUGACUGCUGAGUUAUGUUUUAUGCACAUCACGUUGCUUCUGUUUCCAGGCCAGUGUUUUCUGCCCUCGCAGCGGGAUGCUUUUGAGGCUGUCCUAGAAGCAUUUAAAAGAAUUCCAACGCUUUUGCAGGGGUGGCGAAUGAUAUCCUGGGUUAAUGCAGUGAUGAACUCGUAUCACAACAUCACAGCAUUUUAAUGGGAACAAGAAGGGAGAGGUGGAGUGGGGCAGGAACUUCUGAUGCUGGCUCUGCCACCAAGGAAUACAUGUUAUGUAACUAGACUCUGAAAAUUAAAUGUUACGCUUCCGUGCUCUUCUUA